UGAAUUGGAUCAUACCUGAGUAAUUGGAGUUAUACCAAAUUUUCAAAUUGAAAACACAUAAAUGCAUCUUCUCAUUAAAGAAUUUGUUUGCGAUUAUAUAACAAACUCGUGAUACUUUGAUCAAGAAGCUUGCAUCAAAACCCAAUACCAUAAGAUAUAAUAAAUAUAUCCGUAUAAUGGCUAGGAAAUGAUACACGUUCCAUUUAAUCAAGUAAGUAAGGAAACAAUAAGAGUAGUGGUAUUUCAUUGUCGAUACCAAACCGAAAUCUGAUAUCUCCCACUUAUUCUACACCUCUUAUGUCUCCUUACACUGCCAGAUUAGAGUCAAGCUCAAAAGGGUCUUCUUUCCCCGCUAAUUAUUCCAAGCCCGUUCCCUNCCUUACCUACAUUAUUCUAUCGACUAGAGACUCUUCACCUUGGAGACCAGCUGCGGAUAUUGGUACGGCCUGUUGAGAAGUUUGCGUGUCCCCACCAUAAAUUUUCAAGGUCCGAGGAGAAAAUAUCGACACAACAGUAUAUGUCAUGCUCUUCUAGCCCAUCUACCAUAUCUCUCUGCGAAAGACUUCCAUGGUAGUAGUAGAUAGGGACAUGUGUCUGCUGAUCUCUCAGCCUUUAUUUAACGUGGCGGUUCCUCAGGAAGGGAUUUCAACCACGUUGUUGAGUUGCCCGGGAUAAGAAGCUAUAGCAAAUACAUAGCGACUCGGCCCGGUACCAAUUGGAAAGUAUGCUAGUCGGGCAUACUUUCCCCCCUUGGUGAGGAGCGAAGGUGUAUCUAUCACCUCUUCCGAUCUAUGGGUCACGGCACCCGGUUGAGAAACGCAACUCCACGUCGAACCUAACGGCUCUGCCCGCGUAACAUUUGGGCUACCACAGCCACCACGAUACUCCCAUUAGGCCGACCUCAAUGUACAGCCUUGGAACGCUAAUACAACCCGUGGAACCAAGAUUUAGGGCUCAGUUGACCCUCCCCUUUUAGCCCCGACUGGCUCGGAUAGGGUACCCAGUAGAUAGGGAGAUAGAAGUAGAUAGGGACAGUAGACAGUCGGAUUCCCCAAGUCCGUGCCAGUUCUGAAUUGAUUGUUAAUUGAUAAUCGUUAUAAUUAAUAAGAACUAAUUGGUUUUACCCAAUUAGUAUUCUUAAAAAUUUUAGCAAGAAAGUUCCACAAUUGGCUACGUAACUAAACUAUCCGGGGAACAAGUAACUACCAUAAAUGAUAGAAACUCUAUUUACCCAGAACGAGCACAUAAACCAUGUUAUUGUUUCCCAAUCAAGCCCGACUAUCUCAAU
This 1288-nucleotide long non-coding RNA is filed under the name Drosophila guanche. The record is from RNAcentral. Lineage: Eukaryota; Metazoa; Arthropoda; Insecta; Diptera; Drosophilidae.